This 1022-nucleotide ribosomal RNA is filed under the name Bacillus licheniformis. RNAcentral describes it as "bacterial SSU rRNA". It matches the Rfam family "Bacterial small subunit ribosomal RNA", at positions 64 to 1061 of the family's 1533-position model. The record is from RNAcentral. Lineage: Bacteria; Bacillati; Bacillota; Bacilli; Caryophanales; Bacillaceae.
GAGCUCGACCGACUGCGGAGCUUGCUCCCUUAGAGUCAGCGGCGGACGGGUGAGUAACACGUGGGUAACCUGCCUGUAAGACUGGGAUAACUCCGGGAAACCGGGGCUAAUACCGGAUGCUUGAUUGAACCGCAUGGUUCAAUCAUAAAAGGUGGCUUUUAGCUACCACUUGCAGAUGGACCCGCGGCGCAUUAGCUAGUUGGUGAGGUAACGGCUCACCAAGGCGACGAUGCGUAGCCGACCUGAGAGGGUGAUCGGCCACACUGGGACUGAGACACGGCCCAGACUCCUACGGGAGGCAGCAGUAGGGAAUCUUCCGCAAUGGACGAAAGUCUGACGGAGCAACGCCGCGUGAGUGAUGAAGGUUUUCGGAUCGUAAAACUCUGUUGUUAGGGAAGAACAAGUACCGUUCGAAUAGGGCGGCACCUUGACGGUACCUAACCAGAAAGCCACGGCUAACUACGUGCCAGCAGCCGCGGUAAUACGUAGGUGGCAAGCGUUGUCCGGAAUUAUUGGGCGUAAAGCGCGCGCAGGCGGUUUCUUAAGUCUGAUGUGAAAGCCCCCGGCUCAACCGGGGAGGGUCAUUGGAAACUGGGGAACUUGAGUGCAGAAGAGGAGAGUGGAAUUCCACGUGUAGCGGUGAAAUGCGUAGAGAUGUGGAGGAACACCAGUGGCGAAGGCGACUCUCUGGUCUGUAACUGACGCUGAGGCGCGAAAGCGUGGGGAGCGAACAGGAUUAGAUACCCUGGUAGUCCACGCCGUAAACGAUGAGUGCUAAGUGUUAGAGGGUUUCCGCCCUUUAGUGCUGCAGCAAACGCAUUAAGCACUCCGCCUGGGGAGUACGGUCGCAAGACUGAAACUCAAAGGAAAUUGACGGGGGCCCGCACAAGCGGUGGAGCAUGUGGUUUAAUUCGAAGCAACGCGAAGAACCUUACCAGUCUUGACAUCCUCUGACACCCUAGAGAUAGGGCUUCCCCUUUCGGGGGCAGAGUGACAGGUGGGUGCAUGGUUGUCGUCAGCUC